RNAcentral lists this ribosomal RNA (440 nucleotides) under uncultured bacterium. RNAcentral describes it as "partial 16S ribosomal RNA". It matches the Rfam family "Bacterial small subunit ribosomal RNA", at positions 338 to 795 of the family's 1533-position model. The record is from RNAcentral.
CCUACGGGCGGCAGCAGUGGGGAAUAUUGCACAAUGGGGGAAACCCUGAUGCAGCGACGCCGCGUGAGUGAAGAAGUAUUUCGGUAUGUAAAGCUCUGUCAGCAGGGAAGAAAAUGACGGUACCUGACCAAGAAGCCCCGGCUAACUACGUGCCAGCAGCCGCGGUGAUACGUAGGGGGCAAGCGUUAUCCGGAUUUACUGGGUGUAAAGGGAGCGUAGACGGCAGGGCAAGUCUGGAGUGAAAGGCGGGGGCUCAACCCCCGGACUGCUCUGGAAACUGCCAGGCUGGAGUGCAGGAGAGGUAAGUGGAAUUCCUAGGGUAGCGGGUAAAUGCGUAGAUAUUAGGAGGAACACCAGUGGCGAAGGCGGCUUACUAAACUAUAACUGACACUGAAGCACGAAAGCGUGGGGAUCAAACAGGAUUAGAUACCCGGGUAGUC